UUGUAGAUUGUGAGUUCAGUGGCGAACGGGUGAGUAACAGAUAGGAACGUACUCUGAAGAAGGGGAUAGCCCACCGAAAGGUGGAGUAAUACCCUAUAAUAUCGCAAGAUUAAAGACGCAAGUCACUUCAGAAGCGGCCUAUCUACUACCAGCUAGUUGGUGGGGUAAUGGCCUACCAAGGCGAUGACGGUUAACGGCUCUUAGCGGAGAGUCCGUCACAAUGGGACUGAGACACGGCCCAUACACCUACGGGUGGCAGCAGUUAGGAAUUUUGCGCAAUGGACGAAAGUCUGACGCAGCGACACCGCGUGGAGGAUGACGGCCUUCGGGUUGUAAACUCCUUUUCCCCAGACAUGAAGUUUGGGGGAAUAAGCAACUACUAACUACGUGCCAGCAGUCGCUGUAAUACGUAGGUUGCAAGCGUUACUCGGAUUUAUUGGGCGUAAAGCGUCUGUAGGCGGUUUUUUAAGUCUUGUUUCAAAGAUUUCGGCUCAACCGGAAGAAGGGGCAGGAUACUAGAAGACUAGAGUGAUAUCGGGGUUACUGGAAUUUGUAGUGUAGGGGUAAAAUCCGUGGAUACUACAAAGAACACCAAGCGCGAAGGCGGGUAACCAGGUAUUUACUGACGCUCAGAGACGAAAGCUAGGGGAGCAAAUCAGAUUAGAGACCUGAGUAGUCCUAGCUGUAAACAUUGUCCGUUAAUUCCCUGUAUUUAUAUGGGGGAUGUAAGCUAACGCGUUAAACGGACCGCCUGGGGAGUAUAGCCGCAAGGCCGAAACUCAAACGAAUUGGCGGGGAGGCGCACAACCAGUGGAGCAUGUGGUUCAAUUCGAUACGAAGCGAUGAACCUUACCUGGGUUUGAAAUGUAUCUGCAAGCCCUAUGAAAGUGGGGCCGCCUUUGAGGGUGAUACACAGCUGUUGCAUGGCUGUCGUCAGCUCGUGACGUGAGUUGUUCUCUUAAGUGAGGUAACGAGCGCAACCCCCAUUCUGUGUUACUGUGUCACAGAAGACUGCCCAGCAUUAUUUUGUUGGGAGGAAGGAGGGGACGACGUCAAGUCAUCAUGAUGCUUAUGUCCAGGGCUACACACAUCCUACAAUGGGCUUUACAGAGGGUUGCGAAAUCGCAAGAUGGAGCUAAUCCCUAAAAGAGCCCUCAGUUGGGAUUGCAGGCUGAAACCUGCCUGCAUGAACCCGGAAUUGGUAGUAAUCGCGGAUCAGCAGACCGCGGUGAAUACGUUCUCGCCUCUUGCACACACUGCCCGUCAAAUCAGCAAAGUUGGGGGUACCUAAAGCCUGGCCUUUGGCCGGAUCAAGGUAAAUCCAGCGAUGAGGGUUAAGUCGUAACAAGGUA
Molecule: ribosomal RNA, 1352 nt
Filed under: metagenome
Description: bacterial SSU rRNA
Rfam family: Bacterial small subunit ribosomal RNA
Source: RNAcentral